UCAGGAUGAACGCUAGCGAUAGGCUUAACACAUGCAAGUCGAGGGGCAGCAUAAAAGUAGCAAUACUUGGUGGCGACCGGCGCACGGGUGAGUAACGCGUAUGCAACCUACCUAUCAGAGGGGAAUAACCCGGCGAAAGUCGGACUAAUACCGCAUAAAACAGGGGCACCGCAUGGUGAUAUUUGUUAAAGAAAUUCGCUGAUAGAUGGGCAUGCGUUCCAUUAGGUAGUUGGUGAGGUAACGGCUCACCAAGCCGACGAUGGAUAGGGGAACUGAGAGGUUGGUCCCCCACACUGGUACUGAGACACGGACCAGACUCCUACGGGAGGCAGCAGUGAGGAAUAUUGGUCAAUGGGCGGGAGCCUGAACCAGCCAAGUCCGCGUGAAGGAAGAAGGAUCUAUGGUUCGUAAACUUCUUUUGCAGGGGAAUAAAGUGCAGGACGUGUCCUGUUUUGUAUGUACCCUGAGAAUAAGGAUCGGCUAACUCCGUGCCAGCCGCGGC
RNAcentral lists this ribosomal RNA (502 nucleotides) under uncultured bacterium. Its description in RNAcentral is "bacterial SSU rRNA". It matches the Rfam family "Bacterial small subunit ribosomal RNA", at positions 24 to 518 of the family's 1533-position model. The record is from RNAcentral.